This is an RNA transcript of Spinacia oleracea (spinach), 2013 nucleotides long. RefSeq lists it as uncharacterized. NCBI's taxonomy places the organism in Eukaryota, Viridiplantae, Streptophyta, Magnoliopsida, Caryophyllales, Amaranthaceae. The transcript is spliced from 13 exons. The record is from RefSeq and is a predicted model, not a curated record.
AAGACUUGAAAAAUAAACGAAAGACAAAAACGCCCCUUACCCCUAUUAACUCUCCAAAACCAAAGAAAUAAAAAGUUCAAAAACCCUUCUACCCUUCUGCGUAUUUCUGGGUUUUCACCCUUCCUCUUGCUUCUCUGGAUUCUCUACCUUGAAGAUAGAUCGAGUAUUCUGAUUGAGUAAUUGAUUUGGAAGCUUGUUUCUGCUGGGAUUUGAGCUUUUCUGACUGUGACUUUGGUUGCAUAAGAAUUAUUUAAUUGGUUUUGCUUUUCCGAAAUAAUUGAAAAUGCCUGACAUACAAGCUCUUGUCAAUGAGUUUGUUAACAAACUUAAGAAACGUAAAAUUGAGGGGUCACAAGCCACGGCAAGACACACAGCAGAAUUGCUUCGUUCAGUUAUAUCCCAACAGAGAAUUCCCUACACAAACCAGGCUGGGGCUCUUAUUAGUGCUAUAAACGCUGUUGGGGAGCAGCUUAUUGCUGCAAACCCUGUUGAGCUUGCUGUUGGCAAUAUUAUCAGGAGGGUGCUGCACAUUAUCCGGGAGGAGGAUUUAUCUCUCACUACUGCGGCUAUAGGUGACCUGAACAUUUCAGUUGGAAGUGAUGAUGAUGAUGAAGAUGGUAAAGAUGAUCAUCCUGUCCUGUCAGCGGCUGCUGUUGCUGCAGCAGCAAGGAACACUUUGCGCCCACCAUCGUUGCAGAAUCUUCUUGAGGAUGUACCUGAUGCUACUGCUGUUCCUCAUACUUCUUCAUCUGGGGGUGAUUCUGAAGGGAAAAGCAAAUCUGCUGAUAAGAGCUCAAGGAGCCGAAAACUAAAGCAUGAUGUCAUUGAAGCAGUUAACGAACUUAUUCAGGAUAUUGCUACUUGCCAUGAGCAGAUUGCUGAACAAGCAGUGGAGCACAUUCAUCAAAAUGAAGUGAUAUUGACUUUGGGCCGCUCAAGAACAGUGAUGGAAUUUCUCUGUGCAGCAAAGGAGAAGAAACGAUCGUUUCGAGUUUUUGUGGCAGAAGGCGCUCCGAGGUACCAAGGGCAUGUUCUUGCCAAAGAAUUAGUGGCUAGAGAUCUGCAGACCACUGUAAUCACCGACUCUGCUGUUUUUGCUAUGAUAUCUCGAGUGAACAUGGUCAUAGUUGGAGCUCAUGCCAUCAUGGCUAAUGGUGGAGUGAUAGCCCCGGUUGGAUUGAAUAUGGUUGCUCUUGCUGCUCAAAGACAUGCUGUCCCAUUCGUGGUAGUUGCCGGAAGUCACAAGUUAUGCCCCUUGUAUCCUCACAAUCCAGAGGUGUUACUCAAUGAGCUGAAAUCCCCUUCUGAUCUGCUGGAUUUUGGAGAGUUCUCGGAUUGUUUGGAUUUUGGAAGUGGCAAUGGUGAACCGCUGCUUCAUGUUGUCAACCCUGCAUUUGAUUACGUGCCACCAAAUCUCGUUAGCCUCUUUAUUACUGACACAGGAGGGCAUAACCCAUCAUAUAUGUACAAGCUGAUUGCGGAAUAUUACUCUGCUGACGAUUUGGUUAUACAACGAAAGUCAGCUGCUGAUAUUUAACGGUAGUCAAUUUGACUGAAUUCGCUACCUAAGUUGAUUAACCAUAUGACAGCGACAAGUAUUUUCAUUGGGAGGGAUAAAUAAUUGUACCAUGUUUAUGUUUGAUACAGACACCAAUUCAUUACAACACUAUAAUAUCCAUUAGCUUGAACCCAAUCACAUUACUCUGAUUAGGGAUUUAAUUAGUAAGAAAAGGGACAUGGGAAGCACUGCAGGCAGGACUCGAUCUUUAGCACUGCAGGCAGGACUGAGUUAGUGAUCUGAAGUGAACUUGCUUGGUUUACUGAUCUGUAUAUAUCUCAUGUGAACACAAGUAUGUGGUAAAAGUCUGAUGAAGUUUAUGUAAAUAUCUUUUCACUUCAAUAUUAGUCAUACUGUUUGGCCUGGCACUGAAGGUUGAUCAUUUCGCUUGAUAACAUACAGCAAAUAUGGGGGAUUAUGUGUCUCCGUCGAGAAAGAGUUGUUAUUUUGUUCAA